GAUUGAACGCUGGCGGAAUGCUUUACACAUGCAAGUCGAACGGCAGCACGGGGCAACCUGGUGGCGAGUGGCGAACGGGUGAGUAAUAUAUCGGAACGUGCCCAAUCGUGGGGGAUAACGUAGCGAAAGUUACGCUAAUACCGCAUACGAUCUACGGAUGAAAGCGGGGGAUCGCAAGACCUCGCGCGAAUGGAGCGGCCGAUAUCAGAUUAGGUAGUUGGUGGGGUAAAGGCUCACCAAGCCAACGAUCUGUAGCUGGUCUGAGAGGACGACCAGCCACACUGGAACUGAGACACGGUCCAGACUCCUACGGGAGGCAGCAGUGGGGAAUUUUGGACAAUGGGCGCAAGCCUGAUCCAGCCAUUCCGCGUGCAGGAUGAAGGCCUUCGGGUUGUAAACUGCUUUUGUACGGAACGAAACGGUCUGCCCUAAUACGGCAGGCUAAUGACGGUACCGUAAGAAUAAGCACCGGCUAACUCCGUGCCAGCAGCCGCGGUAAUACGGAGGAUCCGAGCGUUAUCCGGAUUUAUUGGGUUUAAAGGGUGCGUAGGUGGAUUGUUAAGUCAGUGGUGAAAGUUUUCAGCUCAACUGAAAAAUUGCCGUUGAAACUGUCGAUCUUGAGUGCAAAUGAGGUAGGCGGAAUGUGUUGUGUAGCGGUGAAAUGCUUAGAUAUAACACAGAACUCCGAUUGCGAAGGCAGCUUACUGGGAUGCAACUGACACUGAUGCACGAAAGCGUGGGUAUCAAACAGGAUUAGAUACCCUGGUAGUCCACGCAGUAAACGAUGAAUACUAGCUGUAUGCGAUACACCGUAUGUGGCACAGCGAAAGCGUUAAGUAUUCCACCUGGGGAGUACGUUCGCAAGAAUGAAACUCAAAGGAAUUGACGGGGGCCCGCACAAGCGGAGGAACAUGUGGUUUAAUUCGAUGAUACGCGAGGAACCUUACCCGGGCUUGAAAUGCAGACGACCGACAGGGAAACUUGUCUUCCAGCAAUGGCGUCUGUGUAGGUGCUGCAUGGUUGUCGUCAGCUCGUGCCGUGAGGUGUCGGCUUAAGUGCCAUAACGAGCGCAACCCUUGCCAUUAGUUGCUAACAGGUUAAGCUGAGAACUCUAAUGGGACUGCCAUCGUAAGAUGCGAGGAAGGUGGGGAUGACGUCAAAUCAGCACGGCCCUUACGUCCGGGGCGACACACGUGUUACAAUGGGUGGUACAGAGGGUUGCUACCUGGUGACAGGAUGCUAAUCUCUUAAAUCCACUCUCAGUUCGGAUCGAAGUCUGCAACUCGACUUCGUGAAGCUGGAUUCGCUAGUAAUCGCGCAUCAGCCAUGGCGCGGUGAAUACGUUCCCGGGCCU
This 1354-nucleotide ribosomal RNA is filed under the name uncultured bacterium. Its description in RNAcentral is "bacterial SSU rRNA". It matches the Rfam family "Bacterial small subunit ribosomal RNA", at positions 27 to 1381 of the family's 1533-position model. The record is from RNAcentral.